AUUGAACGCUGGCGGCAGGCCUAACACAUGCAAGUCGAACGGUAACAGGAAGACGCUUGCUUCUUUGCUGACGAGUGGCGGACGGGUGAGUAAUGUCUGGGAAACUGCCGGAUGGAGGGGGAUAACUACUGGAAACGGUAGCUAAUACCGCAUAACGUCGCAAGACCAAAGAGGGGGACCUUCGGGCCUCUUGCCAUCGGAUGGGCCCAGAUGGGAUUAGCUUGUUGGUGGGGUAACGGCUCACCAAGGCGACGAUCCCUAGCUGGUCUGAGAGGAUGACCAGCCACACUGGAACUGAGACACGGUCCAGACUCCUACGGGAGGCAGCAGUGGGGAAUAUUGCACAAUGGGCGCAAGCCUGAUGCAGCCAUGCCGCGUGUAUGAAGAAGGCCUUCGGGUUGUAAAGUACUUUCAGCGGGGAGGAAGGGAGUAAAGUUAAUACCUUUGCUCAUUGACGUUACCCGCAGAAGAAGCACCGGCUAACUCCGUG
RNAcentral lists this ribosomal RNA (490 nucleotides) under uncultured bacterium. RNAcentral's name for it is "partial 16S ribosomal RNA". It matches the Rfam family "Bacterial small subunit ribosomal RNA", at positions 30 to 507 of the family's 1533-position model. The record is from RNAcentral.